This 1013-nucleotide long non-coding RNA is filed under the name Cyanistes caeruleus (blue tit). Its description in RNAcentral is "lncRNA (ENSCCEG00000016101.1)". Lineage: Eukaryota; Metazoa; Chordata; Aves; Passeriformes; Paridae. The record is from RNAcentral.
CGCAGAGACAGAUUGAAGCAGCAAUUAUCUUCUCUUCACAGACCUGGUGAAAGACUGACAGCACCGGAAAAAUUAGCAAGGAGGUUCUGUGAUCUGGAGCUGGAACUGAUGGGUUUCCACAAGGGCACAAGGUGAAUAAUUCACUAAAACUACUCAUACACAAUGGCAAAUGUUUGCAGAACCGGGCUAUUAGUUCAGGUAAAUAGAGCUGUUUAUACUUGUGGGUAAAAUGUUGCAAUUGUUUGACUGUACGUGGUAUACAUUGGCAAAGAGUCCAGAGGGAAGUAACAAUGAUUGAGAGAAGGUUUGAAUGUAUCUAAUGUGUUACCCAAACUGUUGAUUCUAAAAAAAAAUAUGGCAACAUAACUCGGCAUCUAAAGAUUUUCCCAUGUAAGCUCUGCAGAGAAAUAAACUCAGAACUUUGAAAACUGGAAUACAUCAUGUCAAUUCCCACAGCUAACUCAAUUCCCAUUACUAACUGUAAUGGAAAGUAAUAUCUGUUAAGUAUUCUGGAGACUGACUUUUCCUCAUUAAAAAAUCAGAUGACCAUUAUUUAAAGUACUCUUUCAUAAAAGAUUAGGAAAAUUUAGAUUGGAAAGGACCCGUGGAAGUCACCCAGUCCCAUACCCUACUCAAAGACCUAAUUGCAAACUCCGAUCAGGUUGCAGAUGGGUUUGGCCCGUUGACUUCUGAAAAUCCGCAGGGAUGGAGGUUCCCCAGGAGGUUCUUUCUGGGUGGUCUCUUCCAGCACUGACCUACUCUCACUGUGAAGAAUUUCUUCCUCUUGUCUGGUCAAAGCAAAUGUGACCUUUAUCUCAUGUCCUUUUGCUGAGCAUUCCUAUGAAUGGUUUGGCUCUGUCUUCUCCAUGGCUUUCCCCACAGGCAAUGAAAGACUGCAGUGUGGUUCCCUUUGCCUUUUCAACUGCAAGAUAAACAAACCAAGUUCUCCUAGCCUCUUCUCAUAUUCUGUCAGCAGACAAAAACUUGAAAACAUGAUGUUUGUGAGGUUGUGA